CACCCGGUCCCAUACCGAACCCGGAAGUUAAGCCUUUCAGCGCCGAUGGUACUGCAACCGAGAGGUUGUGGGAGAGUAGGACGCCGCCGGAC
Molecule: ribosomal RNA, 92 nt
Filed under: Nocardioides sp. Soil774
Lineage: Bacteria; Bacillati; Actinomycetota; Actinomycetes; Propionibacteriales; Nocardioidaceae
Also listed under: 1 other name
Source: RNAcentral